Molecule: long non-coding RNA, 1527 nt
Organism: Lycium ferocissimum
Lineage: Eukaryota; Viridiplantae; Streptophyta; Magnoliopsida; Solanales; Solanaceae
Exons: 3
Source: RefSeq, a predicted model, not a curated record
CAAAUUACUUUAUCCAAACUGAAGCUUCCAAGAAAAGACCACAAUCUGUGGCUAUAUAUCAUCUACAUCCCUCCACUUCUUCAUAAAUUGACUAAAAAUCAUCCAUCAUCCUUUCUUUCAUUCUUGCAUCUAAUCAAAUUUAUUCAAUAGGUGAUGUAUUUUUGAGUUCCAUAGGUGAAAAAAAGGCGAGCUAAAUUCGAAACUAGAGAAAGCAAUUCAAGAAAUUAGGGUUUGUAUUGUUAUUUUCUCGAAAUUUCAUGCUUCUUCUAGCUGGUGUCUUGAAGAACUAGUUAAAAUACUUAAGUUAAAGCAGAUAAUUUUGUGUAUUUUAUACAAUCUCGAUCUUCUCAAGUGCGAAAGCAAAUUGGGUGUUUUGGUGAAGAUUUGGGUAUACAGAAAGGACGAUUAUUUGGGGUUUUGCGAGAUGUUGCUGACGGGCAUGAAUCUAAAUUUAUCGAGAAUAUUAUAGAAUAAGUCCUGCCAGAGGUGAACCAAACACCUCUAUAUGUUGCUUGGUACCCAGUUGGAGUAUAUACUCGUGUCAAAGAAAUAGAGUUGUUAUCGCAAAAUGAAUGUGUUGAUGAAGUUCACAUGAUUGGUAUAUUUGGCAUUGGUGGAAUAGGAAAAACAACUUUGACAAAGGCAAUCAAAUUAAUCAAGGCAAGACUCGGGUCUAAGAAGGUUCUAAUUGUCCUUGAUGAUAUGGACAGUGAAAGGCAAUUAAAAUCCUUAGCAAGAGAAAGAAGUUGGUUUGGUCCGGGUAGUUUAAUAAUAAUUACAGCCCGAGACGAACAUUUGAUAAAUGGGCUUAGAGCAAAUGAUGCCAAUUCGAGGCUAGAAGAAGACCAGUUGGUUGCUAUUUGAUUGUUAGGAUCGGAAGAAAUGUGAGAUUUUAAGGAAAGAAGAGCUACUUCUAAUCGGGGGUUUAGUACCAAGAUCGAUAGAGCAAUUGAUGCGGUUUUCGGGUUUGGUCGACAGGGUAUUUCACUAAUAUCUCAACUUUCUUCACGUGGAAUCUCUCCAAAUGUGUUUUCACAUAGUCUGAAAGGAGAGGGCAAUGGUGGAGGUAUACUAGUUCUUGGUGUGAUUUUGAAUCCGAGCAUCCUCAGCAAAUACCUUUUUCCUCCCAAUUCAUCUCGGAGCUUCUUAACUAUUAUAUCCCUGCUUUGGACCUCAACUUUCCUCUUUGUCAAUGAUUCGAGGAUCAGUUCAAAAAACUUUAGUUUCAGACAUUUCAGGUAGACACAAACAAACGCUCUUUCCAAAGUGUUGUCUGAUCUGUUCAUCAUUGAAAAUUCUCUUAGCUACGGGAAUUGUGCAAAUUGGGUUGUUAUCCAACCUCUCUGCACUCGUAGCGGACACCCGCAUCCGAGUCCGAGCAACUUAAGUAGUUAUUGGAAAAUGAAUAUGUAGAUGAAGUUGACAUGGCAUUGGUGGAAUAGGAAAAACAACUUUGGCAAAAGGUAUCAAGAAGUCUGCGAUGUUCUACAAGGAAAUAAGAUCUUUCUUAUGGUCUGGUACUGCAGA